RNAcentral lists this transfer RNA (73 nucleotides) under Mytilus edulis (blue mussel). It matches the Rfam family "tRNA". From Rfam's summary of the family: Transfer RNA (tRNA) molecules are approximately 80 nucleotides in length. Their secondary structure includes four short double-helical elements and three loops (D, anti-codon, and T loops). Further hydrogen bonds mediate the characteristic L-shaped molecular structure. tRNAs have two regions of fundamental functional importance: the anti-codon, which is responsible for specific mRNA codon recognition, and the 3' end, to which the tRNAs corresponding amino acid is attached (by aminoacyl-tRNA synthetases). tRNAs cope with the degeneracy of the genetic code in two manners: having more than one tRNA (with a specific anti-codon) for a particular amino acid; and 'wobble' base-pairing, i.e. permitting non-standard base-pairing at the 3rd anti-codon position. RNAcentral also lists the same sequence under 1 other name. Lineage: Eukaryota; Metazoa; Mollusca; Bivalvia; Mytilida; Mytilidae. The record is from Rfam by way of RNAcentral.
ACCUUGGUAGUAUAAUGGUUAUUACAACUGUUGUAAUCAACAGGAAAUCAGGGUUCGAAUCCCUGCUAAGGUU